UAUCCAAAAGUGAAUCGUAUUCUUUUCACUUUUUUUAAUGGUAGAAGAACCCUGAGAGAGAUAGCUACUGUAAGUCUGACAGUUUUAUCAUAGAAAGCUGAAGCAAUUUGCUCAAGGUCACAAGACUUUUAAGAGGUGGAGUUAUUUAGAUUUAGUUUUAGUUACUCUGUCCCUAAUACAGUGUUCUUCUCAUGUAGCUAUUUGAAUCUCAUAUUGCCUUUUAAUUAAUCAUUAGAUCAAUAAACAUUUGUUGGUUUCACAACCGUUAUAUCAAAAGAGAUCGUCAUACUUUAAAAAUUCUGAUGAGGUCAGUGUCUUCUCAGUUUCCUCCUUGGAACAAUGCUAAAUCAUAUGUGGCUGUUUAAAUAUUAAAACCCUAUGGAAUCACAGAGCACUCAAAGCUCAAAUUAAUGCUGGGAAUUGUAAUUACAUACAUUUCUUGUGAAAAGACUUGAUGGUUGGUUUGAAUUACAACUGUGUGGCUUUGGGAAAAUUACUUAAUAUCUUUAGGCUCUGGUUUCCUUAAAUGUAAAGUGGGGAUAAUACCACUUCUCUGGGAGGUCGCCAAGAUUAAAGUAGACAAUACAUUUGUCAAAGUCCCUAGCACAGUGCCUGACACAUAAUAGGCACUCAGUAAAUGUUAGUUUCUCCUUGACUAAUUUCUUUCAUUGGCUGUGUGGGAAAAUUACGCGAACAAACUGUACAAGUCAAUCAUUUCCAAGGGCUUUUUGAAAAUAAUGAUAGAGAGUCUUAAGAGAGCACUGUCAUUAUUGUUGGUUGGGGUCAGUUUUUUCCCUGCAAGAACAUAAAGUUAAAAUUUACUGGCGAGUAUUUAAUACACAACAAUUUGCUAUGAAUCUGACUUUUCUCCAGGAACGCACUUAAUGAUGAAAUCAAAUCAAGCAGAAGUUUUUUUUGCAUGCGGUUCAAGAACGCUCUUUAUCCAGUCUGCACUGAAAUUGCAUUACCUGGAGUUAAGGAGGAAGUGUACUCAGUUGAGCUUGGAAGCAAUGUUACCAGAAAAGGAUUAACAAAUCAUAAGACAAAAUCCUUGGAGCUUUAUUGGUAAUAGCCAAAAGGAAGGAAG
This is a long non-coding RNA of Leopardus geoffroyi (Geoffroy's cat), 1087 nucleotides long. RefSeq lists it as uncharacterized. The transcript has 2 exons. NCBI's taxonomy places the organism in Eukaryota, Metazoa, Chordata, Mammalia, Carnivora, Felidae. The record is from RefSeq and is a predicted model, not a curated record.